RNAcentral lists this ribosomal RNA (406 nucleotides) under uncultured bacterium. RNAcentral's name for it is "partial 16S ribosomal RNA". It matches the Rfam family "Bacterial small subunit ribosomal RNA", at positions 29 to 526 of the family's 1533-position model. The record is from RNAcentral.
AUUGAACGCUGGCGGCAGGCCUAACACAUGCCAGUCGAGCGAGCGGCGGACGGGUGAGUAAUGUCUGGGAAACUGCCUGAUGGCGGGGGAUAACUACUGGAAACGGUAGCUAAUACCGCAUACCAUCAGAUGUGCCCAGAGGGGAUUAGCUAGGAGGUGGGGUAACGGCUCACCUAGGCGACGAUCCCUAGCUGGUCUGAGCGGAUGACCAGCCACACGGGAACGUAGACACGGUCCAGAGUCCUACGGUAGGCAGCAGUGGGGAAUAUUGCAAAAUGGGCGCAAGCCGGAUGCAGCCAUGCCGCGUGUGUGAAGAAGGCUUUCGGGUUGUAAAGCACUGUCAGCGGGGAGGCGUUACCCGCAGAAGAAGCACCGGCUAACUCCGUGCCAGCAGCCGCGGUAAUUC